AUAAACUUUUGGCCCAUUCCAACACCCCGUCGUCUGAGAAGCUUUCUUCUCAGUCCAUCCAUCCAUCCAUCCAUGGCGGAAGGCAGCACAAGCGGAUUAUCAGAGCUCCCACAACACAUUAUCCAUCACAUCCUCUCUUACCUCUCAGCAGAAGAAUCAACAAAAACGAGCUUAAUAUCGAAAUCAUGGUUAAGCGCGUGUCAAACCAGCCCAAAAUUGGAAUUCAAUCCUCACGUCUACUUCUCCAGGAAACUCAAUCCAGCUCGCUUCUGGGAUUGGAGCAAAGAAAAGAGAAGGGAGAAAUACGAGGAGUUCUUCCAACACGUGAAGAAAGCCCUGAAGCCGUAUAGCAAACAGGGGUUACGCAUAAACACGGUUAAUUUCACGCUUGAAGCGACUCGCGAUUCUCAGUGGAAUCCACUCCUUGAGAAAUGCACAAAAAUAGCAGUAAAAAAUGGGGUACGGAAUCUUGAUUUUUUUAUCCCGGAAUGUGAUUUGCCAGCAAUUGUAUUUAGAGCUAAAUCACUUGUUGAUUUAAGUGUUAGAGAGGGUAAUAUUAAGCGAAUGUCAGUUGGGGAAAUUAUAUGUCCUGGGCUUAGAAAACUGUGCCUUAAAUGGGUGAGUUUGGACGUGGAGAUGUUUAAUAAUAUAAUUGAAAGCUGCUCUUUUAUUGAGGUAUUGGAAGUUUGGUAUAUCCAGGUGUUUGAUGAUUUUAAGGUGACUAAGUUGAACAACCUUAAGGAACUUACAGUUCGGUUAUUCGAAAAUCAGUGGGUUAAAGUUGAAGCACCAAAGCUUGAGUUGCUAACUUGCACAGAUGAUGAGAAUUGGUUUGAGGGUGAGGAUGGGGAUGAGGAAGACAGAUUGACUUGUGGGAUUAGAUUCCCUGCCUCGCACUAUCAGAAUCUCAAGUCUUUACUGUUUAGUGGGAUUGGGAUAGAUGACACUUUCUUUAUGGAUUUGGCGUGUAAGUUCCCCAACCUUGAAGAUUUAAUGGUCAGAUAUUGCCAAGAGCUAGAAAGUAUCAAGAUUUCGAGUCAGUCCCUGAAAAGAAUAGAGUUGAUGGACAAUAAAAAAUUGGUAGAAGCACAGUUUGAAGUUCCCAAGAUUCUAGCCUUCGAAUAUUCUAAUGUAUGCGACAUCAUACCCCGAUUUCUUUUUGCGACUGCCUCAAGUUGUUGGACUUCUUCCAUUUGUUUAUGGUGCAGGGAACAUGUAGAUGUUUCAUGGUUUGUCAAAUUGAAAGAAUUAUUAGCAAGUUUAUUUCAGUCUGAAGUUUCACUUGACAUUGACUUUAUAUGCAGCGUAGCCUUUGAUCUGAAUGAGAUUAGGGAUAUUGUCAAAAUUCGUGAACCUCAAGAGGUGCAGAAGUUGACUAUACAUUUUGACUGGAUGUUCUCUUUAGAGAAGGGAUUUUCAGCUCUCGAUGGUCUUUUCUGGGUUUGUCGCCCUAAAUAUGUAAACACAGAGUGGCAUGAUAGCUUAGAGAAGAAUGACGCGGUGAAGUUUCUAUACGAGACACUGAUGUUCAGAAGAACUCAGGAUCAGUUUCAGUAUUCGUUGCAAAGUAAGUUCUGGCGGCAUGAUUUGAAGGAAGUAAACAUUGAGGUCCUUGAUAGAUCUAUAUGCAUGAUAGGGGAUAGAGUCAACUUUACGACAAAGGGGAAAAAUGAGCAUCAGCAAGAAGAUUUGGACUGGGAGAACAUUCUGAAUUUGUUAAGGAAUGAUGGAAGCUUUGGAACGAUGGUCUACUUCAAGUUACAGUGGUAAGACAUGAUAUGCCCUAGGAAGUUAAAAGAUUGAAUCUGUAGAAAUCGAAGUUGGAAUAAUGGCAGAAAGUUAUGUUAUAGUAAUAUUCUGUUAGUAUGGUAAUUUACUUGGGGGGCAUCAAUUUUGAGUUGAUCUGGUUAUUUCAUAGUGCAGCUCGACAUGCUUCUUUUGAUUCAGGUCGCGUGUCAUGGAGAAGGAUGGAGGAAAUUUCGAGACUUGAAGCUGUUAGAAGAAUUUGCAGUAAAUCUGUUAUUUAUAAUCAUACUUAUAUUUGGAUGUCUAGGAAGUUGAGCAAAUGGUAUCUAGUAUUUGUCUCUUUAACUAGUCCUUGGUAACAUUGGAUUAUAAUGAUCUGGAGCUUUUGAUUCAUUUACAAGUCUGUUUAAGUAGCUGGAUGUUUGAACCACAAUAUGUUUGCUUUGAUCAAUUACUAAU
RNA transcript from Coffea arabica (coffee), 2205 nucleotides. It is a transcript of the gene named F-box/LRR-repeat protein At3g59190, with no coding region annotated. The record is from RefSeq and is a predicted model, not a curated record. NCBI's taxonomy places the organism in Eukaryota, Viridiplantae, Streptophyta, Magnoliopsida, Gentianales, Rubiaceae.